This 497-nucleotide ribosomal RNA is filed under the name uncultured bacterium. RNAcentral describes it as "partial 16S ribosomal RNA". It matches the Rfam family "Bacterial small subunit ribosomal RNA", at positions 28 to 507 of the family's 1533-position model. The record is from RNAcentral.
GACGAACGCUGGCGGCGUGCCUAAUACAUGCAAGUAGAACGCUGAAGGAAGGAGCUUGCUCUUUCUGGAUGAGUUGCGAACGGGUGAGUAACGCGUAGGUAACCUGCCUGGUAGCGGGGGAUAACUAUUGGAAACGAUAGCUAAUACCGCAUAAAAUUGAUUAUUGCAUGAUAGUCAAUUAAAAGGUGCAACUGCACCACUACCAGAUGGACCUGCGUUGUAUUAGCUAGUUGGUGGGGUAACGGCUCACCAAGGCGACGAUACAUAGCCGACCUGAGAGGGUGAUCGGCCACACUGGGACUGAGACACGGCCCAGACUCCUACGGGAGGCAGCAGUAGGGAAUCUUCAGCAAUGGACGGAAGUCUGACCGAGCAACGCCGCGUGAGUGAAGAAGGUUUUCGGAUCGUAAAGCUCUGUUGUAAGAGAAGAACGAGUGUGAGAGUGGAAAGUUCACACUGUGACGGUAUCUUACCAGAAAGGGACGGCUAACUACGUG